GAAAAAGAAAGAGUUUUGCUCUUGUUGCCCAGGCUGGAGUGCAAUGGCACGAUCUUGGCUCACCGCAACCUCCGCCUCCCGGGUUGAAGCAAUUCUCUUGCCUCAGCCUCCCAAGUAGCUGGGAUUACAGGCAUGCACCACCACACCCAGCUAACUUUUUGUAUUUAGUAGAGACAGGGUUUCACCAUGUUGGUCAGGCUGGUCUCAAACUCCUGACUUCAGGUGAUCCACCUGCCUUGGCCUCCCAAAGUGCUGGGAUUACAGGCGUGAGCCACCACGCUUGACGGGUACUUAGUUUCACAGACAUUAGGGAAAUAUGGUAGCAGAGGAGGGAGGUCUUCCAAAAAUACUUGAAAAAGACAUAUGUACAAUAGUGAGCAGUGGCAUUUAUAAGAAAGAUGGUCUAUAAACAUUACUAUUGCUCUGGCUUUACCUUUAGGUUGGUGUGAUCCUGAAGGAAGGAAGUGCGUGUGUAGGAAAAGGAGUUCCAGGGGGGUUAUGUUAAUUUACAAUCAUAUCAAAAUAACAUGACUCUUCCUCCUCUCCCUGUAGCUGUAUCUAGGAAGUAGGAGUUUAACAUUUCCCCAUUCAACCUCUUACCAGAAAACUACUCCUAAAUAAACAUCACUAAUUUUGCUGCCACAUCACUAAGUCUUGACAGAAUUACCCAAAUCAUAUGUGCUAGGAAAAUCAAUUGUCAACAGAUUUUGAGCGUCCAUGCCGUUCUAGGCAUCAUAUUUGUAUAUGAAGAGAAAAGAAAUAUAUUAGCUCCCAAAGGGAUUUCUAUCUUUAUACCCACAGAGAAAAUAGGGAUGGGUAGACUUGGACUUGGUGUAAAAAAUGUACAGGUAAGUAAUACCCAAAGUCAAAAGGAAUUCAACAAUUUUGCUAAUAUCAAACAGUACACAGUUGGCAAAUUUGGGUACGUGUGUACACAGAUCGUACAAAGUAUUUUAAGCAACAUACUAAAAUUUUACUUCCAAGUUGUCGUCUGCAGGGUUUUUCCAUUUCUUCUUAUUUAUCUACUUUUUUGUUAUUGUUGUUUGUUUUUUUGAGACAGAGUCUUGCUCUGUCGCCCAGGCUGGAGUACAGUGGCGCGAUCUUGACUCACAGCAACCUCCGCCUCCCAGGUUCAAGCAAUUCUCAUGUCUCGCAUCCCAAGUAGCUGGGAUUACAGGCAUGCACCACCAUGCCCAGCUAAUUUUUGUAUUUUCAGUAGAGACGGGGUUUCACCAUGUUGGCCAGGCUGGUCUUGAACUCCUGACCUCAAAUGAUCCACCUGCCUCAGUGUCCCCAAGUGCUGGGAUUACGGGUGUGAGCCACCGUGCCCAGCCUAUCCACUAUUAUUUACAUAGCUACUCUACACAGGAUGGUGG
RNAcentral lists this long non-coding RNA (1376 nucleotides) under Homo sapiens (human). RNAcentral describes it as "HSALNT0214553". The record is from RNAcentral. Lineage: Eukaryota; Metazoa; Chordata; Mammalia; Primates; Hominidae.